Molecule: non-coding RNA, 4157 nt
Organism: Arachis ipaensis
Lineage: Eukaryota; Viridiplantae; Streptophyta; Magnoliopsida; Fabales; Fabaceae
Source: RefSeq, a predicted model, not a curated record
AAAUUUGGAAACCCUAGCCCCUCUUUCCACACACUAGUGCCGCUACCAGCUAGUCAGCUACCCAGUCACCCUCCUCGCGAAGACGCGAACCCCCCCUUCUGCGUUCUCUCCGUCCUCUUUGCACCCAGCCAGCCACCUCCGAACACCUCCCUAGCGGCCUCACCACUGUCGUCCUCUGUCGCCAGCGUUCUUCGCCAGCUUCCGUCGUCCGUUACUCUCCCUCGAAUCUCUGCUCACUGCCUUCGCCGAAGCUUCUGUUCUCCUACCGCUCUGAUCAUGGAUAUGAUCUUCGAGCUCGGCUUUGUCUCGGCCAGCUUGCAGCUUGUUAAGAAGGAGCUAUUUGUUAUACUUGGUGCUGACGAAGAGCUGAAGAAGCUGGAAAGGACCCUGCUGAAAGUUCAGGUUCUUUUUGAUAGUGUGAAAGCAAUGCAGCACUACCCUCUCGAUUACAAGAUGCAGCAACUAUGGCUUCAUGACACUUGGUGUGUGUUACUUGAUGCUGAGGACUUAAUAGAUGAGAUUGCCUUGGAAAUCUCAAAAUUUACUCCCGAUGACCUCAGCUAUCUCAUGGGUGAUGGCAACCGGUUGAGAAACUCUGUCUUAGCUGGGCUUAAGCUUAAUAUUCCAUCCUCCAUUGUUGAUAUGAGACAGCAACUGGAGGAUAUUGAGAGGAAGGCGGCCAAUUUUAUGAAUGAGUUGUACAAAAUCAACCAGUUUCACUCUAUAAGCAAGCUGCAAUCCAGUUCCUGGUAGAUGCAUCCUGUGUAAUUGGAAGGGAAAAUGACAUGGAAAAAAUUCUAUCAUUGUUGUUAGCUAAUGACAUGAUGAAUGAAAAUUUUGCAGUCAUUGCAUUAGUGGGAAUGAUGGGAGUAGGAAAAACUACACUAGCCCAGUUUGUCUACAACAAUGAUGAUGUGGCGGACAAUUUUGAAUUAAUUUCUGGUGAUGAAGAUGCAAAAAGAAUUACAAGGUCGAUGGUUGAAGCUGUUUGCGAGAAAAACUUUGAGUAGUCUGAUAUGGAUCAAAUUCAAGUUACACUUAAAAAGGUACUCCGGAAAAAGAAAGUUUUAAUUGUACUAGUUGGCAUUUGCAAUGAAGAUGUAGUUGGCAUUUGCAAUGAAGAUGCAAAUGAUUGGGAGAUUCUUUGCUUGCCAUUCAAUGUUGCUGCUAAGGGAGCAAAAUAUUGGUGACUACAUCAAGUAUGUUUGUUUCAGAGAUGGUUGCCACAAUUUCGAUGUGUCAUGUGCACACUUUAUCUGAUCAAGACUGUUGGAGAAUAAUAGAGAAAAGAGCAUUCUCAAGCUUUAUUCUGGAUGAUUUCAAAUGUUCGGUGUUGGAGGAAAUUUGAUUUAAAAUUGUACAAAAAUGCAAUAAAUUACCAUUGAUAGCAAAGAUGUUUGGAAAUGUUUUGCGAUUUAAUCACGAUGAAAAGAAGUGGGAAGCUAUAUUGAAAAGCAAACUAUGGGAACUUCCAGCAUCUCGAAAUAUAUUUUCAGCAUUGAAAUCGAGUUAUGAUCAAUUGCUUUCUUGUUUGCAAAGAUAUUUUGAUUAUUGUUCUAUUGUUCCUCCAAAUUAUAAAUUCAGCAGAGAUGAGUUGGUCAAGUUGUGGGUAUCUGAAGGCUUCAUUCAACAAAGCGGAGUAAAAACGACACAAGAAAUUGGUGGAGAAUAUUUUGAUAUCCUGGUUCAGAGGUCAUUUUUUCAACUCUCACCAAUGGAUCACGGUAACCAUCAAGUAUUUAGAAUGCAUAAUCUCAUUCAUGAAUUUGUUGAAUUGGUUUCUGAUGGGCUGUGCAUUAGAGUGGAAGAUGGCAUGUCAUCGCCAAUUUCCAAUCUUAAAAUGUCAGACAUACAUCUUUAAUCUGUGACGAACGUUCAAAUAGAACACUUGAGCAUUUUUAGUAAAUGUGAUCGAAUGAGGACUCUUAUUUUGUUUUCUAAGAGUGGUGAUAUCCCUGUCAAGAUGAUUCCUUUGGCGAAAUCAAUUUCAGUUAUUUGAGGGUUCUAAACUUGAGUUUUUUCGAUAUCAGAGAGUUACCUGAAGCUAUUGGUACAGCAAAACACAUGCGCCAUCUUGAUGUGUCUAGCACUCCUAUUAAAGAGCUACCUGAAUCAAUUAUAAAUCUGAAUGGGAUGAAAACGCUUAAGCUCAACAACUGCAUCCACCUACUCAAAUGGCCCAAGAAUACGAAGAAUCUUGUUCUAAUCUUCAUGUUCUUGGGACAAGAUUCUUCAUGUUCUUGGGAGUGAAGAUUGGAACAAGAUUCUUCAUGUUCUUGGGCCAUUCGAGUAGGUGAAUGCAGUUGUUGAGUUUAAGCGUUUUCAUCCCAUUCAGAUUUGUAAUUGAUUCAGGUAGCUCCUUAAUAGGAGUGAUGGACACAUCAAGAUGGCGCAUGUGUUUUGCUGUACCAAUAGUUUCAGGUAACUCUCUGAUAUCGAAAAAACUCAAAUUUAGAACCAUCAAAUAACUGAAAUUGAUUUCGCCAAAGGAAUCAUCUUGACAGGGAUAUCACCACCCCUAGAAAACAAAAUAAGAGUCCUCAUUCGAUCACAUUUACUAAAAAUGCUCAAGUGUUCUAUUUGAACGUCGUCACAGAUUAAAGAUGCAUGUCUGACAUAUUUAAGAUUGGAAAUUGGCGAUGACAUGCCAUCUUCCACUCUAAUGCACAGCCUAUCAGAAACAAAUUCAGCAAAUUCAUGAAUGAGGUUAUGCAUUCUAAAUACUUGAUGGUUACCGUGAUCCAUUGGUGAGAGUUGAAAAAAUGACCUCUGAAACCAGGAUAUCAAAAUAUUCUCCACCAAUUUCUUGUGUCGUUUUUACUCCGCUUUGUUGAAUGAAGCCUUCAGAUACCCACAACUUGACCAACUCAUCUCUGCUGAAUUUAUAAUUUGGAGGAACAAUAGAACAAUAAUCAAAAUAUCUUUGCAAACAGAAGGCAACUGGUCAUAACUCGAUUUCAAUGCUGAAAGUAUAUUUCGAGAUGCUGGAAGUUUUCAUAGUUUGCUUUUCAAUAUGGUUUUCCACUUCUUUUCAUCGUGAUUAAAUCACAAAACAUUUCCAAAAAUCUUUGCUAUUAAUGGUAAUUUGUUGCAUUUUUGUGCAAUUUUGAAUCCAAUUUCCUCCAACACCGAGCGUUUGAAAUCAUCCGGAAUAAGGCUUGAGAAUGCUCUUUUCUCUAUUAUUCUCCAACAGUCUUGAUCAGAUAAAGUGUGCACAUGGUACAUAGGAAUUGUGGCAACCAUCUCUGAAACAAACAUACUUUGUGUAGAAUUGCAUUUGUGUAGCUUUCCCGUUUCUUGGCGAUCUUCUAAUGCUGAAAGAUCUUCACAUUGAAAAGAUCAGUAAAUUGGAGUACGUUGACGUGACAGAGUCUUACCUGGUUAUCAGUCUUUGCGAGCUCUUACAUUGUGUAAUAUGCAAGACUUAAGAGAAUGGAGGGCUUUGAAGGCGGGUGACAUGGCUAAACUUGAGAAAAUAGAAUUUUCUGAAUGUCCCAAGCUUAAAUGCUUACCAAGGGGACAACUACCAAGCUCGGUGAAAUGUUUAAUCAUCAGAAAUUAUAUCAAUUUAAAAGCUCGAUGUAUGGACCGUGGGAGUGAAGAUUGGAACAAGAUACAGUCAAUCCCUAAAGUUGAGAUUGACCAGGAGGAUUGUCAGCGCAACAUCUGAUAUAGGACAGAUAAAUGCCAGCCUUGUUGGGUGGAGAAUAUGCUGCAGCAAGUAACUCUCUUUAUUGGCCUAAAAUCAAUGAAAGACUCGUAGGAUUAUCAGAUGCUGUGAUGAAUAACAGUUGCCCUGUACUUAAUGAACUUGCUGAAGCAGAGAUGCUUGUCAAAGAAAGAAAAGGUUGAAGCAUUUUGGUUUGUGAUUAUCGUUGUUGCGCUAGAUGCAGGGAGCAAUUAUUGGUACUACAAGAGUACAAGGCAUGUAAAAACUGUUUCAAAAAAGUAGAUAUUGGACAAGAAUGUUAUUGAUUUUGAUUAGAUAAGUUGUGGUUACCAUGUGAAUUUCAAACUCCAUUUAAAGUAGCAUAUACUAUUUUGGUUUCUUAGUUAAAAUCUAUGGUAUGCACCAUAGGUGUAGACUUCAAUCGAUAAUAGUUUAUGGGACUGGCAAUUUACUUAAACAAUGUAUUAUUGAUGUGAGUUUUGAUAGA